UACAGAGGGUGCAAGCGUUAAUCGGAAUUACUGGGCGUAAAGCGUGCGCAGACGACUGCGUAAGUCAGAUGUGAAAGCCCCGGGCUCAACCUGGGAAUUGCAUUUGAGACUGCGUAGCUAGGGUGCGGAAGAGGGAAGCGGAAUUUCCGGUGUAGCGGUGAAAUGCGUAGAUAUCGGAAGGAACACCAGUGGCGAAAGCACUCUGCUGGGCCACAACUGACACUGAGAGACGAAAGCGAGGGGAGCAAAAGGG
Molecule: ribosomal RNA, 253 nt
Filed under: uncultured bacterium
Lineage: Bacteria
Description: partial 16S ribosomal RNA
Rfam family: Bacterial small subunit ribosomal RNA
Source: RNAcentral